CUCGAUGUGCUAAUCAAGUUCCCCCUAAUUUGACAUACUAGAAUCUAAUACUAGAGGCAGCAUGACAUUAUUAUGGGGGAGGAGGUUGAGAAGCACUAACCUCGAAGUUAGAAUUUCUGGUUUGUCAUCCCAGUCUGCUAAUUAGCUUUCUGAUUUAAGACAAAAUACUUUUUUCUGUGCCUUCUGGGGGUCAAUUCGAUUUUUAAGAUUCUCUCAGUUGGAAGAAAUGUAACUAAAAAUAUACUUAAAAUAAUUCUUUGGUAGUAUAUUAUUUUGAAAUUUGGUCCAGAAUCCUAUUUGUUUAUUCCUGUAGUAUACAUACAUCUGUAGUUACCCAGUAGUCUUUGUUGUCUUUGGGCCAUCUAAAGUAUAUUUGGGCUGGGCAUGGUGACUCACACCUGUAAUUUCAACACUUUGGAAGGCCAAGGUGGGAAAAAUCACGUGAGGCUGAUCUCAAACUUCUGGCCUCAAACAAACCUCCUGCCUUAACCUUCCAAAGUGCUGGGGUUAUAGAUGAGCCACUGUGCCCCGCCAUGGAGUCAUGUGAUACACAUAGUAAGCUGUCAGAUAUUUUUGGUAAGUUCAAAUAGACACCAAGUAAAAAAAGAUUCCCAUUUAUUCUCCCCAGCUUGCCAACCCCCUACAUUAAGUAAUGAAAUGAAACC
This 665-nucleotide small RNA is filed under the name Pan troglodytes (chimpanzee). Its description in RNAcentral is "sense intronic". The record is from RNAcentral. Lineage: Eukaryota; Metazoa; Chordata; Mammalia; Primates; Hominidae.